RNAcentral lists this ribosomal RNA (2030 nucleotides) under Escherichia coli. RNAcentral describes it as "partial 23S ribosomal RNA". It matches the Rfam family "Bacterial large subunit ribosomal RNA", at positions 919 to 2925 of the family's 2925-position model. The record is from RNAcentral. Lineage: Bacteria; Pseudomonadati; Pseudomonadota; Gammaproteobacteria; Enterobacterales; Enterobacteriaceae.
CAAGGGGGUCAUCCCGACUUACCAACCCGAUGCAAACUGCGAAUACCGGAGAAUGUUAUCACGGGAGACACACGGCGGGUGCUAACGUCCGUCGUGAAGAGGGAAACAACCCAGACCGCCAGCUAAGGUCCCAAAGUCAUGGUUAAGUGGGAAACGAUGUGGGAAGGCCCAGACAGCCAGGAUGUUGGCUUAGAAGCAGCCAUCAUUUAAAGAAAGCGUAAUAGCUCACUGGUCGAGUCGGCCUGCGCGGAAGAUGUAACGGGGCUAAACCAUGCACCGAAGCUGCGGCAGCGACACUAUGUGUUGUUGGGUAGGGGAGCGUUCUGUAAGCCUGUGAAGGUGGCCUGUGAGGGUUGCUGGAGGUAUCAGAAGUGCGAAUGCUGACAUAAGUAACGAUAAAGCGGGUGAAAAGCCCGCUCGCCGGAAGACCAAGGGUUCCUGUCCAACGUUAAUCGGGGCAGGGUGAGUCGACCCCUAAGGCGAGGCCGAAAGGCGUAGUCGAUGGGAAACAGGUUAAUAUUCCUGUACUUGGUGUUACUGCGAAGGGGGGACGGAGAAGGCUAUGUUGGCCGGGCGACGGUUGUCCCGGUUUAAGCGUGUAGGCUGGUUUUCCAGGCAAAUCCGGAAAAUCAAGGCUGAGGCGUGAUGACGAGGCACUACGGUGCUGAAGCGACAAAUGCCCUGCUUCCAGGAAAAGCCUCUAAGCAUCAGGUAACAUCAAAUCGUACCCCAAACCGACACAGGUGGUCAGGUAGAGAAUACCAAGGCGCUUGAGAGAACUCGGGUGAAGGAACUAGGCAAAAUGGUGCCGUAACUUCGGGAGAAGGCACGCUGAUAUGUAGGUGAAGCGACUUGCUCGUGGAGCUGAAAUCAGUCGAAGAUACCAGCUGGCUGCAACUGUUUAUUAAAAACACAGCACUGUGCAAACACGAAAGUGGACGUAUACGGUGUGACGCCUGCCCGGUGCCGGAAGGUUAAUUGAUGGGGUUAGCGGUAACGCGAAGCUCUUGAUCGAAGCCCCGGUAAACGGCGGCCGUAACUAUAACGGUCCUAAGGUAGCGAAAUUCCUUGUCGGGUAAGUUCCGACCUGCACGAAUGGCGUAAUGAUGGCCAGGCUGUCUCCACCCGAGACUCAGUGAAAUUGAACUCGCUGUGAAGAUGCAGUGUACCCGCGGCAAGACGGAAAGACCCCGUGAACCUUUACUAUAGCUUGACACUGAACAUUGAGCCUUGAUGUGUAGGAUAGGUGGGAGGCUUUGAAGUGUGGACGCCAGUCUGCAUGGAGCCGACCUUGAAAUACCACCCUUUAAUGUUUGAUGUUCUAACGUGGGCCCCUUACCGGGGUUGCGGACAGUGUCUGGUGGGUAGUUUGACUGGGGCGGUCUCCUCCUAAAGAGUAACGGAGGAGCACGAAGGUUGGCUAAUCCUGGUCGGACAUCAGGAGGUUAGUGCAAUGGCAUAAGCCAGCUUGACUGCGAGCGUGACGGCGCGAGCAGGUGCGAAAGCAGGUCAUAGUGAUCCGGUGGUUCUGAAUGGAAGGGCCAUCGCUCAACGGAUAAAAGGUACUCCGGGGAUAACAGGCUGAUACCGCCCAAGAGUUCAUAUCGACGGCGGUGUUUGGCACCUCGAUGUCGGCUCAUCACAUCCUGGGGCUGAAGUAGGUCCCAAGGGUAUGGCUGUUCGCCAUUUAAAGUGGUACGCGAGCUGGGUUUAGAACGUCGUGAGACAGUUCGGUCCCUAUCUGCCGUGGGCGCUGGAGAACUGAGGGGGGCUGCUCCUAGUACGAGAGGACCGGAGUGGACGCAUCACUGGUGUUCGGGUUGUCAUGCCAAUGGCACUGCCCGGUAGCUAAAUGCGGAAGAGAUAAGUGCUGAAAGCAUCUAAGCACGAAACUUGCCCCGAGAUGAGUUCUCCCUGACUCCUUGAGAGUCCUGAAGGAACGUUGAAGACGACGACGUUGAUAGGCCGGGUGUGUAAGCGCAGCGAUGCGUUGAGCUAACCGGUACUAAUGAACCGUGAGGCUUAACCUU